GCGUCAAUAGUGCAACGGGUUAGAGCACGCGCUCCCGGAUCGAGUGAGAUAUGGGUUCGAGUCCCGCCUGACGCG
Non-coding RNA from Parelaphostrongylus tenuis, 75 nucleotides. Lineage: Eukaryota; Metazoa; Nematoda; Chromadorea; Rhabditida; Metastrongylidae. The record is from the annotation of a GenBank genome assembly.